AACCUGCGGAAGGAUCAUUAU
Molecule: ribosomal RNA, 21 nt
Filed under: Rhodocollybia butyracea
Lineage: Eukaryota; Fungi; Basidiomycota; Agaricomycetes; Agaricales; Omphalotaceae
Also listed under: 2 other names
Description: partial 18S ribosomal RNA
Source: RNAcentral